CCUACGGGAGGCAGCAGUGAGGAAUUUUGCACAAUGAGCGAAAGCCUGAUGCAGCAACGCCGCGUGGAUGAUGAAAGUCUUCGGGUCGUAAAAUCCUGUCAGGUGGGAAGAAAUCGGGGAGGUUAAUACCCUCUUCGUCUGACUGUACCACCAGAGGAAGCCCCGGCUAACUCCGUGCCAGCAGCCGCGGUAAU
Molecule: ribosomal RNA, 194 nt
Filed under: uncultured bacterium
Lineage: Bacteria
Description: partial 16S ribosomal RNA
Rfam family: Bacterial small subunit ribosomal RNA
Source: RNAcentral